Molecule: ribosomal RNA, 255 nt
Filed under: uncultured bacterium
Lineage: Bacteria
Description: partial 16S ribosomal RNA
Rfam family: Bacterial small subunit ribosomal RNA
Source: RNAcentral
CGAAGGACCCGAGCGUUAUCCGGAUUUAUUGGGGUUUAAAGGGUGCGUAGGCGGAUUAGUAAGUCAGUGGUGAAAGCCCAUCGCUUAACGGUGGAACUGCCAUUGAUACUGCUAGUCUUGAGUAUGGUUGAGGUGGGCGGAAUGUGUCAUGUAGCGGUGAAAUGCUUAGAUAUGACCCAGAACACCAAUUGCGAAGGCAGCUCGCUAAGCCAUAACUGACGCUGAUGCACGAAAGCGUGGGAGACAAACAGGAUU